RNAcentral lists this ribosomal RNA (497 nucleotides) under uncultured bacterium. Its description in RNAcentral is "partial 16S ribosomal RNA". It matches the Rfam family "Bacterial small subunit ribosomal RNA", at positions 28 to 507 of the family's 1533-position model. The record is from RNAcentral.
GAUGAACGCUGGCGGCGUGCCUAAUACAUGCAAGUCGAGCGAACAGACGAGGAGCUUGCUCCUCUGACGUUAGCGGCGGACGGGUGAGUAACACGUGGAUAACCUACCUAUAAGACUGGGAUAACUUCGGGAAACCGGAGCUAAUACCGGAUAAUAUAUUGAACCGCAUGGUUCAAUAGUGAAAGACGGUUUUGCUGUCACUGAUAGAUGGAUCCGCGCCGCAUUAGCUAGUUGGUAAGGUAACGGCUUACCAAGGCAACGAUGCGUAGCCGACCUGAGAGGGUGAUCGGCCACACUGGAACUGAGACACGGUCCAGACUCCUACGGGAGGCAGCAGUAGGGAAUCUUCCGCAAUGGGCGAAAGCCUGACGGAGCAACGCCGCGUGAGUGAUGAAGGUAUUCGGAUCGUAAAACUCUGUUAUUAGGGAAGAACAAAUGUGUAAGUAACUAUGCACGUCUUGACGGUACCUAAUCAGAAAGCCACGGCUAACUACGUG